This 913-nucleotide ribosomal RNA is filed under the name Cortinarius sp. RNAcentral describes it as "partial large subunit ribosomal RNA". It matches the Rfam family "Eukaryotic large subunit ribosomal RNA", at positions 50 to 949 of the family's 3401-position model. Lineage: Eukaryota; Fungi; Basidiomycota; Agaricomycetes; Agaricales; Cortinariaceae. The record is from RNAcentral.
AUAGCGAGAAAGAAACUAACAAGGGAUCCCCUAGUAACUGCGAGUGAAGCGGGAAAAGCUCAAAUUUAAAAUCUGUCAGUCUUUGGCUGUCCGAGUUGUAAUCUAGAGAAGUGUUAUCCGCGCUGGACCGUGUACAAGUCUCCUGGAAUGGAGCGUCAUAGAGGGUGAGAAUCCCGUCUUUGACACGGACUGCCAGGGCUUUGUGAUGCGCUCUCAAAGAGUCGAGUUGUUUGGGAAUGCAGCUCAAAAUGGGUGGUAAAUUCCAUCUAAAGCUAAAUAUUGGCGAGAGACCGAUAGCGAACAAGUACCGUGAGGGAAAGAUGAAAAGAACUUUGGAAAGAGAGUUAAACAGUACGUGAAAUUGCUGAAAGGGAAACGCUUGAAGUCAGUCACGUUGGCCAGGGAUCAACCUUGCUUUUGCUUGGUGUACUUUCUGGUUGACGGGUCAGCAUCAAUUUUGACUGUUGGAAAAAGAUCAAGGGAAUGUGGCAUCUUCGGAUGUGUUAUAGCCCAUGGUUGCAUACAAUGGUUGGGAUUGAGGAACUCAGCACGCCGCAAGGCCGAGUAAUUUUACUACGUACGUGCUUAGGAUGCUGGCAUAAUGGCUUUAAUCGACCCGUCUUGAAACACGGACCAAGGAGUCUAACAUGCCUGCGAGUGUUUGGGUGGAAAACCCGAGCGCGUAAUGAAAGUGAAAGUUGAGAUCCCUGUCGUGGGGAGCAUCGACGCCCGGACCAGACCUUUUGUGACGGUUCCGCGGUAGAGCAUGUAUGUUGGGACCCGAAAGAUGGUGAACUAUGCCUGAAUAGGGUGAAGCCAGAGGAAACUCUGGUGGAGGCUCGUAGCGAUUCUGACGUGCAAAUCGAUCGUCAAAUUUGGGUAUAGGGGCGAAAGACUAAUCGAACAUCUAGUA